UACGUAGGGUGCAAGCGUUGCCCGGAUUUAUUGGGCGUAAAGGGCGCGUAGGCGGCUCUGCACGUUCGUUGUGAAAUCGCCCGGCUCAACUGGGCGGGGUCAGCGGAUACGGCAGAGCUUGAGCAAGCUAGGGGGCAAUGGAAUUCCCGGUGUAGUGGUGGAAUGCGUAGAUAUCGGGAGGAACACCUGCGGCGAAGGCGGGUUGCUGGGCCGACACUGACGCUGAUGCGCGAAAGCCAGGGGAGCGAACGGG
RNAcentral lists this ribosomal RNA (253 nucleotides) under uncultured bacterium. RNAcentral describes it as "partial 16S ribosomal RNA". It matches the Rfam family "Bacterial small subunit ribosomal RNA", at positions 524 to 776 of the family's 1533-position model. The record is from RNAcentral.